This 117-nucleotide ribosomal RNA is filed under the name Sinocyclocheilus rhinocerous. The record is from RNAcentral. Lineage: Eukaryota; Metazoa; Chordata; Actinopteri; Cypriniformes; Cyprinidae.
UGCCACAGCCAUAUCACUCUGCAGCCCAAGACUGGUUGCCCACUGAAGCUAAGCAGGGUUGAGCCUGGUCAGUACCUGGAUGGGAGACCUCCUGGGAAAACUAGGUUGCUGUUGGAA